UGUCAUACUAUGUUCCGGAAA
This 21-nucleotide non-coding RNA is filed under the name Caenorhabditis elegans. Lineage: Eukaryota; Metazoa; Nematoda; Chromadorea; Rhabditida; Rhabditidae. The record is from RNAcentral.